RNAcentral lists this ribosomal RNA (698 nucleotides) under Nocardioides sp. RNAcentral's name for it is "bacterial SSU rRNA". It matches the Rfam family "Bacterial small subunit ribosomal RNA", at positions 61 to 763 of the family's 1533-position model. The record is from RNAcentral. Lineage: Bacteria; Bacillati; Actinomycetota; Actinomycetes; Propionibacteriales; Nocardioidaceae.
GUCGAGCGGAGAGGCCCAUUUCGGGGGUACUCGAGCGGCGAACGGGUGAGUAACACGUGAGUAAUCUGCCCUUGGCUUUGGGAUAAGCCCCGGAAACGGGGUCUAAUACCGGAUACGACGACUCCCGGCAUCGGGUGGUUGUGGAAAGUUUUUUCGGCCAGGGAUGUGCUCGCGGCCUAUCAGCUUGUUGGUGGGGUAAUGGCCUACCAAGGCUUCGACGGGUAGCCGGCCUGAGAGGGUGACCGGCCACACUGGGACUGAGACACGGCCCAGACUCCUACGGGAGGCAGCAGUGGGGAAUAUUGGACAAUGGGCGGAAGCCUGAUCCAGCAACGCCGCGUGAGGGAUGACGGCCUUCGGGUUGUAAACCUCUUUCAGUACCGACGAAGCGCCGAUGAUGGUGGUGACGGUAGGUACAGAAGAAGCACCGGCCAACUACGUGCCAGCAGCCGCGGUAAUACGUAGGGUGCGAGCGUUGUCCGGAAUUAUUGGGCGUAAAGGGCUCGUAGGCGGUUUGUCGCGUCGGGAGUGAAAACACCGGGCUUAACUCGGUGCUUGCUUUCGAUACGGGCAGACUAGAGGCAUGCAGGGGAGAACGGAAUUCCUGGUGUAGCGGUGAAAUGCGCAGAUAUCAGGAGGAACACCGGUGGCGAAGGCGGUUCUCUGGGCAUGUCCUGACGCUGAGGAGCGAAAGUGUG